Molecule: ribosomal RNA, 259 nt
Filed under: uncultured bacterium
Lineage: Bacteria
Description: partial 16S ribosomal RNA
Rfam family: Bacterial small subunit ribosomal RNA
Source: RNAcentral
UACGAAGGGGGCUAGCGUUGUUCGGAAUUACUGGGCGUAAAGCGCGCGUAGGCGGACGUUUUUUUUUAAGUCAGGGGUGAAAUGCCGGGGCUCAACCUCGGAACUGCCUUUGAUACUGGACGUCUGGAGUUCGGGAGAGGUGAGUGGAAUUCCGAGUGUAGAGGUGAAAUUCGUAGAUAUUCGGAGGAACACCAGAAGCGAAGGCGGCUCACUGGCCCGAUACUGACGCUGAGGCGCGAAAGCGUGGGGAGCAAACAGG